GAACGUAUGGCUUAAUGGUUAGAGUGCUUGGAUGGUUUCCAAUAGGCGCGAGUACAAAUCUAGCUAUAUUCA
RNAcentral lists this transfer RNA (72 nucleotides) under Heliconius melpomene (postman butterfly). RNAcentral describes it as "tRNA HMEL005426". It matches the Rfam family "tRNA". From Rfam's summary of the family: Transfer RNA (tRNA) molecules are approximately 80 nucleotides in length. Their secondary structure includes four short double-helical elements and three loops (D, anti-codon, and T loops). Further hydrogen bonds mediate the characteristic L-shaped molecular structure. tRNAs have two regions of fundamental functional importance: the anti-codon, which is responsible for specific mRNA codon recognition, and the 3' end, to which the tRNAs corresponding amino acid is attached (by aminoacyl-tRNA synthetases). tRNAs cope with the degeneracy of the genetic code in two manners: having more than one tRNA (with a specific anti-codon) for a particular amino acid; and 'wobble' base-pairing, i.e. permitting non-standard base-pairing at the 3rd anti-codon position. The record is from RNAcentral. Lineage: Eukaryota; Metazoa; Arthropoda; Insecta; Lepidoptera; Nymphalidae.